GAUGAACGCUGGCGGCGUGCCUAAUACAUGCAAGUCGAGCGAACGGACGAGAAGCUUGCUUCUCUGAUGUUAGCGGCGGACGGGUGAGUAACACGUGGAUAACCUACCUAUAAGACUGGGAUAACUUCGGGAAACCGGAGUUAAUACCGGAUAAUAUUUUGAACCGCAUGGUUCAAAAGUGAAAGACGGUCUUGCUGUCACUUAUAGAUGGAUCCGCGCUGCAUUAGCUAGUUGGUAAGGUAACGGCUUACCAAGGCAACGAUGCAUAGCCGACCUGAGAGGGUGAUCGGCCACACUGGAACUGAGACACGGUCCAGACCCCUACGGGAGGCAGCAGUAGGGAAUCUUCCGCAAUGGGCGAAAGCCUGACGGAGCAACGCCGCGUGAGUGAUGAAGGUCUUCGGAUCGUAAAACUCUGUUAUUAGGGAAGAACAUAUGUGUAAGUAACUGUGCACAUCUUGACGGUACCUAAUCAGAAAGCCACGGCUAACUACGUGCCAGCAGCCGCGGUAAUACGUAGGUGGCAAGCGUUAUCCGGAAUUAUUGGGCGUAAAGCGCGCGUAGGCGGUUUUUUAAGUCUGAUGUGAAAGCCCACGGCUCAACCGUGGAGGGUCAUUGGAAACUGGAAAACUUGAGUGCAGAAGAGGAAAGUGGAAUUCCAUGUGUAGCGGUGAAAUGCGCAGAGAUAUGGAGGAACACCAGUGGCGAAGGCGACUUUCUGGUCUGUAACUGACGCUGAUGUGCGAAAGCGUGGGGAUCAAACAGGAUUAGAUACCCUGGUAGUCCACGCCGUAAACGAUGAGUGCUAAGUGUUAGGGGGUUUCCGCCCCUUAGUGCUGCAGCUAACGCAUUAAGCACUCCGCCUGGGGAGUACGACCGCAAGGUUGAAACUCAAAGGAAUUGACGGGGACCCGCACAAGCGGUGGAGCAUGUGGUUUAAUUCGAAGCAACGCGAAGAACCUUACCAAAUCUUGACAUCCUUUGACAACUCUAGAGAUAGAGCCUUCCCCUUCGGGGGACAAAGUGACAGGUGGUGCAUGGUUGUCGUCAGCUCGUGUCGUGAGAUGUUGGGUUAAGUCCCGCAACGAGCGCAACCCUUAAGCUUAGUUGCCAUCAUUAAGUUGGGCACUCUAAGUUGACUGCCGGUGACAAACCGGAGGAAGGUGGGGAUGACGUCAAAUCAUCAUGCCCCUUAUGAUUUGGGCUACACACGUGCUACAAUGGACAAUACAAAGGGCAGCGAAACCGCGAGGUCAAGCAAAUCCCAUAAAGUUGUUCUCAGUUCGGAUUGUAGUCUGCAACUCGACUACAUGAAGCUGGAAUCGCUAGUAAUCGUAGAUCAGCAUGCUACGGUGAAUACGUUCCCGGGUCU
This 1372-nucleotide ribosomal RNA is filed under the name uncultured bacterium. Its description in RNAcentral is "bacterial SSU rRNA". It matches the Rfam family "Bacterial small subunit ribosomal RNA", at positions 28 to 1381 of the family's 1533-position model. The record is from RNAcentral.